AAAAGAUUCCAAGAGCGAACGGCGGAUGCCUUGGCUUCCGAGAUCGAUGAAGGACGUGGUAAGCUGCGAAAAGUCGCGGGUAUUUGCAAACAAGACUUGAUCCGCGAAUCUCCGAAUGGGGCAACCCGUCAGGCUGAAGGCCUGUCACCGGCGCAUAUGCCGGGGUUUACGCAGGGAACUGAAACAUCUUAGUACCUGCAGGAAAAGAAAGAAAUUCUCGAUUCCCUUAGUAGUGGCGAGCGAAGAGGGAAUAGCCCAAACCGCUGAGCUUCCGGGCUCGGCGGGGUUGUAGGAGCACUUAUUAUAUUCACAGCAAACGAACCGGAACACAUCUGGAAAGUGUGACCGUAGCGGGUGAUAGUCCCUUACGGGCAAGUUUGUUAUGGAUGAAGUGCCACCUGAGUAGGUCGGGACACGUGAAAUCCUGUCCGAAUCUGCGGCGACCAUACCGCAAGGCUAAAUACAAUCGGAAGACCGAUAGUGUACCAGUACCGUGAGGGAAAGGUGGGAAGCACCCCGAACAGGGGAGUGAAACAGAACCUGAAACCGUUCGUUUACAAGCGGUCGGAGCUGCCGAAAGGCGGCGACGGCGUGCCUUUUGCAUAAUGAGCCUACGAGUUGGUUGUGUCCGGCGAGGUUAAGCUGUUCAGCAGCGUGAGCCGUAGCGGAAGCGAGUCUUAAAUGGGCGCUUAGUCGGAUGCAUCAGACGCGAAACCUAGUGAUCUACCCAUGUCCAGGGUGAAGGCGCCGUAACAGGCGCUGGAGGCCCGAACCAUUAUCCGUUGAAAAGGGUUUGGAUGAGGUGUGGGUAGGAGUGAAAGGCCAAUCAAACUGGGAGAUAGCUCGUACUCCCCGAAAUGUCUUUAGGGACAGCCUCUGUAUAUUUAUCCUGUGUGAGGUAGAGCUACUGACAGGGAAAGAGGGCUUCAUCGCCUAUCGAUCUCUCCCAAACUCCGAAUGCGCACAGGUUAUUGACAGGGAGUGAGUCGUCGGGUGCUAAUAUCCGUCGGCGAAAGGGUAAGAGCCCAGCCCUACAGCUAAGGCCCCCAAGCGCAGUUUAAGUUGAUAUAUAACGAAGUGACACCGCCUUGACAGCCAGGAUGUUAGCUUGGAAGCAGCUAUUCAUUCAAAGAGUGCGUAACAGCUCACUGGUCGAGUGGUGUUGCAUGGAUGAUAAUCGGGCAUGAAGACUGCCGCCGAAGCUUAGGACUCGAUAUUUAUGAUAUCGAGUGGUAGGGGAGCAUUCUGCUCAGCGUCGAAGGUAUGCCGCGAGGCAUUCUGGAGCGUGCAGAAGAGAAAAUGUAGGCAUAAGUAACGAUAAUGGGGGUCAUAAACCCCCACACCGAAAGCCUAAGGUUUCCUGAGCAACGUUAAACGGCUCAGGGUCAGUCGGGUGCUAAGCGGUAGCCGAUAGGCGUACGCGAUGCUUAACCGGUUAAUAUUCCGGUACCGGCUCUACGGGUGCAAUCGAGACCGAGUAGUGACACUGCCGCGAACUGACGGAACAGUUCGUUGAAGGGCAAAGCGCGAGCGAAGCCCGACAGUACCGCAACGCUUCGGCCGAGCGGACAGUGCAGGUAAUCAGACUUGCGAGAAAAUCGGUUGCGCGUCAAGAGUAGCGCCGCCCGUACCUUAAACCGACACAGGUAGGCGAGGAGAGAAUCCUCAGGUGCUCGAGUGAAUCAUGGCUAAGGAACUCGGCAAACUGACCCCGUAACUUCGGGAUAAGGGGUCCCACGGCGACGUGGGCGCAGCGAAACGGCCCAGGCGACUGUUUAUCAAAAACACAUGGCUACGCUAAAUCGCAAGAUGACAUAUGUGGCCUGACACCUGCCCGGUGACGGAAGGUUAAGAGGGGGGCUUAGCACGCCAGCAAUGAUGUGCGAAGGUCUGAAUCGAAGCCCCGUUAAACGGCGGCCGUAACUAUAACGGUCCUAAGGUAGCGAAAUUCCUUGUCGGGU
This 1961-nucleotide ribosomal RNA is filed under the name biogas fermenter metagenome. RNAcentral describes it as "bacterial LSU rRNA". It matches the Rfam family "Bacterial large subunit ribosomal RNA", at positions 1 to 1977 of the family's 2925-position model. The record is from RNAcentral.